GGCCAAUCCACUCCGCGUCUUCUGCAACCAAUCACCCAAUCCCUUCCUCGCCUCAGUCCCGUGCCAGCCGCCGCCCAAACCCUAGCCCCCGUUUCCCUCUAUCCCCACAGUAACCGCACCAAACCCUAGCCCCCCAUCCACAACCACCCGCUCCUUCUCACAGCCGCCGCACCAUUCCCCCCUUCCACCCCCUCCUCCUUCCCGGAUCCCCACCACGGCGCCGACCUGCAGGCAAAGGGCAACGAAGAGUGGCAGACGAGGACAACGAGGGAGAGAAAGAAGGGAGAAAAAAAGGAGGCUGGUGGCGAGGCCCAGCGACUAGCGCCUCUCCGCCUCAAGCCCUCGCAUCACCGCCACCAGAUAAAGGGCGAAGGCGGCGACGCUCGAGCAGAUGAGAGGGAGUGAGAGGUAGGUGCAGUAAGGCGACGGACGGGAGAGGGGCGAGGGCGAGCUCCAGCGCGAGCGCGCGGACCCAUCACCCACGCCAGCGAGGUCCUCGGCCCCGAGCUACGCCUCUACAACCGCGAAGGUGACUGCUGCGACCACGCUAGGUUUUGUUCAGUGCGCACACACACUGUGCCGUCUCCAGGUGCCAGUUGAACUUACUGUCGGGCUUUAUUGCCCUCCUCUGAUUUGGUGUUGUGGGAGAAAGAAGAAGAGCAGGCAUGUUCUCUGUUUCUACAUCCAGCGUCCACAGGUCUAGAUCGACGGGUCUAAACUCUUGAAUACAGAAAGAAUAAGCUACUAGCAUUCCUAAUGUGCAAGUAAACCUACUAGGAUUACGCCUGCAAAAAAAGUUCAUGAAAUAUGUUGAAGUAUGGCCUUGAAAGGCAAGUUGGAUGGUUGGAGAUGCUCAAAAGAUGUAACAAAGAGAGAAGAUAAGAGGGGGGGAGAGAAGGAGAAGAGGGAGUGCCCGAUUCGAUCUGCAGGAGAGAGAGAAGAUAAGAGGGAGAGAGAGAAGGAAGGAGAGGAGGGAGAACUCUAUUGCCGCCGCGUGCCGUACUUCUGGAUAGAGCACUGCCUGACCAAGGGUUAAGAGUAGAAGGUAAAAACCCUAGCCACAAUGCUCCCGUGCGGGUUGCAUCCCCGCAUCUCCCGUUUCAUUAUUUCACCAUCGCUGCCUCUUCUCCUCUUCGUUGCUCUACUUCUUCCCCUGAUUCCUCUUUUUCGUUUUUUCUCUUUGUGGCGCCGCCGAGGAUGAGUGGAGCGGCUGCUGAAGCAGGCACUGGUGCGCUGCUGGCGAAGCGGUGGUAAAUGGUGUCGUCGAUGUUGUCCUUGGCAGAAGGUAACCCAAGAUCAAUCUCUCACAAUAUUCCUUUGUCGUCUGUGUUCUUAUGAAACUUAGUGAUUGGACCUUCUCUAUUAUGUUUCACAAAUUGCUAUUUUUAGUUAUCCCCAUUGGCUUGCGGAUAUGCUCAUGCUGGGUUGUUCUUGUUUAUUUUCUCUAUCCAACAUCAUUGCAGGUUGGUGUUUCCUCUCUUUCUCAUUGCAGCUACCUAUGCCUCUAUUAUCUAGGAUUUUGCAAGUUAAAUACCCAUGUGUGCUGAACUGAAAAGUUCUCUAUGCAACAUCUAUUGCAGUUUGGUGUUUCCUACCUAUGCCUCUAUUAUUCUAGGAUUUUGAAAGUUAAUUUCUCAUGUGUGCUGAAUUGAAAAGCGCAAUGAAAGGCACUUAUUUCAAAGCACAAAUGCUUUUGUUGCUAUAAGAAUCUGUAGAGAAUAAAUAUAUAUGUCUCCUCCGUUCAUUGCCCUUUUUUGCGGGUAGUUCAUUGCCAUUUUGGAUUCAUAUGUGAAGUCUAUUGUUGUUAAUUAUAGUUAACUAAUUUAUUAAUUCAUGGUUGUUUUAGUUGCUAACCAUAUGAUUGGUAGCCUUGGACAGAAGAGGGCCAGCAACAAACAGAAGCAACCACAGUCCUGUCCAGAACAUGUAUAUCUUCAGUUUUGGUUGCCUUCCGUUUACUUGCCAACAAGCGACACUAAGCUCACAUAUUUACUGUUUGCUUUGUUAUAUACUUAAUCUACUAGACAAAGUGUAAAAUGGAAAUUCAUGGUCGACAAUUUUGUAUAUUUAUAAACCUAGAUGCUACUCUAAUUGGUUUUACUUCUUCCAUAUAUUUUCUCCUCUUGGUGUGUAUAAACAGUGCACAAAGUUAAUUUCUUUUCCUUCUCGACCGCAUCUAAUUAAAGAAAAUAGAGAGGAAUCUAAGAGAUACACAACCAAAAGAACUUUGCUUCUUUGACUUUUCGGCCGUGUCUAACUUUUGGUAAAAGAGAGAGGAAUUUGAGAUAGAUAGACAACUUGAAGAGCUUUGAACAGCUUUGAACGUUCAAGUAUGCCGCUGGCCUCCUCGCAGCUGCUAUCGCGUGGCUGGCACCAGUGUGUGGCAGCUUCUGAGAUGGGCGCAGUUUACUCCGGGUUCAGUGAUGGUGUUGAAAAGCACCUUAACUGAGCCAAGGAAUUUAGUAGCAUUGUGGGAUGAUUAACCAAUUUUUUCUGUUUCCUAUACUAUCUUAUCAUAUUAUAAUUUUGGUGUCCUGGUAGGCAGGGAUCAGCUUUGGUGGCAUCCGAUGCUGGCAGGCCACGGGGUUAGAGCAGAGGAAGCUAACAUGGUGUUCGAAAUUCAGAUGGUCAUUGUGAUCCACCAGAUGCUGCGCCUCAUGUCACCCCGAGCCUCAAGGGCUUGUUAGCAUCAUAAAGUAAGAAUAUGCUUGCAAGUGCUCGUUUCCCAUAUGCUUGCCCACUCCUGUCUCGCAUCAAGCUUUCGUUUAUUUCCCUAAAAUUCCUCUAAUUUUGUUGUGUGCAUGUCUGAGAAAGAAAUAAGAGGAAUAAGGUAUGGUAUGUCUUGGCGAAGUACAUUAUUCCCUGGCUUGUGAAAUUAAUGCGCCCAAAUUCGCGUUCGGUCUGGUUUCGGACUACAAUGGCUCACUGUGUUGUAUUGCAACUAAAAACAGAUGGACAUAAUAAAGAAGCUUGGUGAACAAAUAUAUAUAUGAACCCUCUACACGGUAUAGAUGCUAUAAUUUUUGUUAAAUGGAAGUUAGUUUCAGAUUCUUAAAAAUAUUAUCCUUCAGUCCUAUACAUACAAGGUAUUGUCCUCGCAUGGAUAUAGCCUGCAACCCGCAUCUCUAAACAACACAAACCUAUCCACAAUCAUAAACUUGUGUAUUGAUCCUCUAUUUAGAUUUCGUAUUAGCUCAUUCAAGCUUGUGUGAAUUUUUUGCGUUUGCUUUACAAUGGCACAAUGCAUUUCGGUCGAUAUAUAUGUGAUGCCAUUGGUUGGCCUAGAUCAGAUAGCUAGAUUUGAUCGAUUUGGUUAAUAUAUGUUUAUGUUUCUGUUUAGGUUUCAGCACCUUUUGAUGUGUGUGCGUGCUGCCAUUGAGUAACUUGAUCUGUUUCCUAGCUAUUCUAUGUGCAUUUACAUGUAUAGGAUAGUCAUUUUGAUUCAGUUAAGAUAUGUUCAGAUUUCUGUUUAGAUUUCGGCACCUUUUAAAUGUGCUACCAUGGGGUAACCUAAGUCUAUUUUAAUGGCAACAGGACAUGCAAGUGCAUGGCCCACUGCUAAUAGUCCUACAAGCGACCGGAAUUGUUGCUGUUUUGACUUUAUCUGCUACAUGGUCUCUAUGUUUUCCCGUUGCUUCAUUCAGUAUGUCCACGUCAAACCAUAAAUUACAUGCAUUUGAAUGAUGUUAGCUUAGCACUCGAUGAUAAAUGUGAUGUUGUUUUUAUGUUAAUGUGAAACCCGAUCUAUCGGUUGUUAGUUUGAAUCAGUACCCAAGCCAUCCUCCUCACUGCCCUCCUCUCAUCUAUUCAGGUAGUUCUUCCUUCUUGGUAACAAUGAGAAAACGAUUAGGUUGGUUACACAGUAUACUUCAUGAUUGCGGUAGGCACAAAAUGAUUGGCAGACUAAAAUAACUAUACCUCAUUUCUAUUAUCAAGCUCUAAGUGUAUAUUGAGAUGCCUUUGUACAAUGAGAGAUCCAUGGGGUUGUAGGUUUUUGUGAUGUUUGUGGUCUUCUCUUUUCUUUUUCUUGAUUUGUAUUGGAUAUGCUACUCGCAUCUUUGAACAUGCAUAGGGCCUCUCAGUCUUUAACCCUGACUAUAAAAAUCCAUUGAUGGAAGCUGGGGAGGGCUGAGAUGAACAUCCGGCUCCUUGGGUCUAAGCCAUCAAGAUGGUAGAGACGAUGUUUCCAUGUCAUCUACUCCAGCAGCUGGACAAGGCAUAUAAAAACCAUGGAUCCUUUGCUCCCCAGGCCGCAAAAUGAUCACAAUGUCUGCGACCUCCUCCUAGAUGUAUUAAUCUCAAUCUCAUGUUUGGUUUUCUUCCCUUUUCUCUACUAAUAAUGUAAUUUCUUUUACUAAGAUAAUACCACGUUUGUUGUAAUGCCUUAUUUGAUGUAAGAUCCCUUUUCUACUUUGAAUGAAUUUACCGCAUAUAUUUCUUAUUUAGUUUAGUUCAUCAUUCAGAGACG
This 4468-nucleotide ribosomal RNA is filed under the name Triticum aestivum (bread wheat). RNAcentral describes it as "partial small subunit ribosomal RNA". Lineage: Eukaryota; Viridiplantae; Streptophyta; Magnoliopsida; Poales; Poaceae. The record is from RNAcentral.